RNAcentral lists this ribosomal RNA (424 nucleotides) under uncultured bacterium. RNAcentral's name for it is "bacterial SSU rRNA". It matches the Rfam family "Bacterial small subunit ribosomal RNA", at positions 355 to 776 of the family's 1533-position model. The record is from RNAcentral.
UGAGGAAUAUUGCGCAAUGGAGGAAACUCUGACGCAGCCAUGCCGCGUGCAGGAAGACGGUCUUAUGGAUUGUAAACUGCUUUUGUAUGCCAAGAAACCUUAGUACGUGUACUAAGCUGACGGUAGCAUACGAAUAAGGAUCGGCUAACUCCGUGCCAGCAGCCGCGGUAAUACGGAGGAUCCAAGCGUUAUCCGGAUUUAUUGGGUUUAAAGGGUCCGCAGGCGGAAAAUUAAGUCAGUGGUGAAAUCCUACAGCUUAACUGUAGAACUGCCAUUGAUACUGGUUUUCUUGAGUACAAAUGAGGUGAGUGGAAUGUGGCGUGUAGCGGUGAAAUGCAUAGAUAUGCCACAGAACACCAAUUGCGAAGGCAGCUCACUAACAUGUAACUGACGCUGAGGGACGAAAGCGUGGGGAGCGAACGGG